Tachysurus fulvidraco (yellow catfish) is the source of this 2262-nucleotide long non-coding RNA. RefSeq lists it as uncharacterized. Lineage: Eukaryota; Metazoa; Chordata; Actinopteri; Siluriformes; Bagridae. The transcript is spliced from 3 exons. The record is from RefSeq and is a predicted model, not a curated record.
UUGGUGGCUGUUAUAUGAUGACAGAGGGGGUGGUGGGAGGGACUUGGCACGAGAAAGCUUGUGACAGAAAGUGGAUGGUUUGAUCACGUCUAAAUGUGUGUGUGUGUGUGUGUGUGUGUGUGUGUAUUCUAUUUGACCAAGUAUGAUACCUAGGACUGGCAUAUAUAUAUGUAGGCUCAGUUGCCUUUACAGAAUGAUGUGGUCAGUUUUGGUUCAAAACCAAAUUUUUCACUGGUUCCAGCAUCUCAGCUUGACCACUCCCAGUGCACCGCUGUCCAGAUGUCACUCCUGUCACUCCUGCCUCAACACUCACACAAUGACAAGGAUCUGUGACAGCUGAGAGCAAUUCCAUGGAAUCCCUGCAUGCAAAAUGAGCCGGGGGAACCCUGGUGAUAGUGAUGUAAAGACUGAAUGGUACGACGGUUUACACAGCAGCUACAGGAACGGCCGGGCAUUGACUUAUGCACAACAAUAAAGCUAAACAUUAUGUACUGUAUGAGGAAACAAAAAAACGUACCGCUUUGUGUUUGCUGCCAUGCUGCUCCAACUGCCACCCAACUGGUACUGCCAAUGGCCUUCCUUCUUCAAUAUGAAUGAAAUAUCUGUGAAAUGGAAAGAGCUACCAAGACGAGCAUGCAUGCCAAGUACUGGGUCCUGGCAUAUCCAGAAUUCUGUCAUUUUUAUCGCAGAAUUGGACAAAAAUGUAUCCCUAUGAUCUGAUUCUUAUGAAGGAUGAUAAAAGGGAGAUGAUCAUUCUUCAUUUGUGAUUGCAAACUCGAAUGUAUAAAAAAAAAUUCUGUUCAUAUCCUUAUCGGAUCAUGAGAUAUUUCCGAUCGUGGGGAGAUGGAGAACCCAUAGGAAUCCCCUGAUGACAAAUCCUGCUGUGUCAUGCUAUCUUAACGCUAUCACCUACACAUGUUACAUCCCGCCCAUACGGUGGCAACGAGCCACUGGAUUCCCCCGGUGUAUGUGCAUUUGCCUGUGUGUGUGUGUGUGUGUGUGUGUGUGUGUGUGUUAGCUGUUUCGUGUCUAUGUUUACCACGGCCCCUGAUACUCUCAUGAUUCAGACCCCUCUCCCACUCACUCUAUUUUCGCUUCAUUAGGGCCAAGUCUCUAUCGUCUAGUAUUUGUAUUAGUGUCAAUUGCCAAGGCGAUUAAUUUGAGAGAUAGGAAUGGUGUAUAGUGAAUUUGGCAACACUUCGGUUGUGUGGGAUUAACUAGGCCAGGUGGAUGUAAAGGUCAUUUAAAUAUAGAGACUGUACUAUUUAAUAUAUUGGGGAAAAUAUUACAGAAUAGACAUGCUUUAAAUGGCCAGUGGAAAAUAAUUUUCACCAAACUAAUGUUUCUUAAGGUCCAGUUGCAUAAACUGGGGAUGUAGAAAGGUCCAGAUAAGCAAAUGACGUGACUGAAUGGUGAAAACAGUGUUAUAGCUUUAACUGCUAAUGAUUUAUUUAACGCUAUAAAUAAGGUUGUGAUUAUGUUGUGGUGCUUUUAGUUAACCUUUUGACUUUAAAAAUAGAGACGUGUGCAUGACCGUGUUUGUGAUUUCACAUGAAUGAAUGCUUAAAGCCAAAUAAAUGAACAUGGCUUUUUUUUUAUCCAGUAUAUUCUGAGGCUAUAAACACUCACUUCAUACAAUCAUCUGUAAACUUUCUGUUCUCAUCAUUGACUUUUAGCAGUAACAUUUAUUCGCUUCAUUAAUCACAUGAGAAAUGGCCAAAAUGAUAUACAAAAAAAAAUCCCUUUCCCUUUCUCAUCUCUCAACCUCUCUGUGUAGGCAGUUUCUCAUCCAAUGAGCUUCCUUUGAAUGUUGUACAUAAGAUCCUGUCAAUUAUUUGAAUUGAAAGAGAAUCUGCAACAAAAGUUGUUUCUGUAAAGUGUUUAGCAAAAGCAUAAAUUAUUAUGGAAAUGAUUUAUAGAAGGCUUAUGGUAGUGGAAACUCAGCAGUUUAGAAAUUGAACUGCUUCAGAGUUUAAAUCCCAGCAUUGCUACUGCUGGGUUCUUGACCAAGGCUCUUAACCUGUAAAAAAUGAAAUAUAUUAAAGUUGCUCUUGGUAAAGGUAUCUGCCAAAUGCUCUAAAGUUGUCGGGUCAUUUAAAUGAGUUGGGAAACGGAAGUCCUGGAAAUACAGCCAUUUUUUUUCCAUGCAUUGACCAGCUCGGUAUAACUCAAGCGCUGUAUUUGGUCCGGUGAAAUACUUUGCUGGAUCCAGCCAACAGUCCACAUGAUGUAAGUACACACAUACAAGGCACCUUUUGGCUA